Molecule: non-coding RNA, 249 nt
Organism: Odocoileus virginianus texanus
Lineage: Eukaryota; Metazoa; Chordata; Mammalia; Artiodactyla; Cervidae
Source: RefSeq, a predicted model, not a curated record
GAGAAGAUCAUGGCUUCAUUGAACACCGGGUUCGGGUCGUCCCUCUUCACAGCUGUCUUCUUUUUGCUCAUCUUCCUCCCAUCCUGCAGCAGAGAUGAGAAAACUGAGGCUCACACGCACAUCAAGAGAAGAUAUGGGCUUUGGACUCUGGCACCCUGAUUCCCAGCCCAUGUGCAUGCUCCCCUCACGAGAUGCUUGAGGGAGCUCCACAGAUCCAUCAUUUUUCACUCUAUAAAUGGCCCAAACGCA